UACGAAGGGGGCUAGCGUUGCUCGGAAUCACUGGGCGUAAAGCGCUCGUAGGCGGCUUGCUAAGUCAGGGGUGAAAUCCUGGAGCUCAACUCCAGAACUGCCUUUGAUACUGGCGACCUUGAGUCCGGGAGAGGUGAGUGGAACUGCGAGUGUAGAGGUGAAAUUCGUAGAUAUUCGCAAGAACACCAGUGGCGAAGGCGGCUCACUGGCCCGGUACUGACGCUGAGGUGCGAAAGCGUGGGGAGCAAACAGG
This 253-nucleotide ribosomal RNA is filed under the name uncultured bacterium. RNAcentral describes it as "partial 16S ribosomal RNA". It matches the Rfam family "Bacterial small subunit ribosomal RNA", at positions 524 to 776 of the family's 1533-position model. The record is from RNAcentral.